UACGAAGGGGGCUAGCGUUGCUCGGAAUUACUGGGCGUAAAGCGCACGUAGGCGGCUUUCUAAGUCGGGGGUGAAAUCCUGGAGCUCAACUCCAGAACUGCCUUCGAUACUGGAGAGCUUGAGUCCGGGAGAGGUGAGUGGAACUGCGAGUGUAGAGGUGAAAUUCGUAGAUAUUCGCAAGAACACCAGUGGCGAAGGCGGCUCACUGGCUCGGUACUGACGCUGAGGUGCGAAAGCGUGGGGAGCAAACAGG
This 253-nucleotide ribosomal RNA is filed under the name uncultured bacterium. Its description in RNAcentral is "partial 16S ribosomal RNA". It matches the Rfam family "Bacterial small subunit ribosomal RNA", at positions 524 to 776 of the family's 1533-position model. The record is from RNAcentral.